GCGGGGAAAGAAGACCCUGUUGAGUUUGACUCCAGUCUCAGUUUGUCGGGCGGCAUAGGAAGUGUAGUCAUAGGUGGGAGGUGCAAACCGGUUCUGAAAAACCACUGUUCCUAUAGUUGCUCUGCAAAUUCAAUGGUGAAGCGAAGGAGCUCGCAAUCGCGGCCUCGCCGAGAGAUGCUUGCUUUCCUCUUCGAGCACGAAGCGCAGCCCAGUGGGCGGCGUGAGCUUUCGGUUGGAAACCAGACUGAGAUGGGGAGUUUGGCUGGGGCGGCAUAUCUGCUAAACAACAACGCAGGUGUCCUAAGGCGAGCUCAGUGAGGACAGAAACCUCACGUGGAGCACAAGGGCAAAAGCUCGCUUGAUCUUCGACUUUCAGUACGAGUCGAGAAAGUGAAAGCUUGGCCAGCGAUCCUUUGAGCACGUACAUUCAGGUAUAAUGCCAGAGGUGUCAUAAAAAUUACCACAGGGAUAACUGGCUUGU
Molecule: ribosomal RNA, 481 nt
Filed under: Paramoeba aestuarina
Lineage: Eukaryota; Discosea; Flabellinia; Dactylopodida; Paramoebidae
Description: partial Eukaryotic large subunit ribosomal RNA
Rfam family: Eukaryotic large subunit ribosomal RNA
Source: RNAcentral